Molecule: non-coding RNA, 954 nt
Organism: Salvia hispanica
Lineage: Eukaryota; Viridiplantae; Streptophyta; Magnoliopsida; Lamiales; Lamiaceae
Source: RefSeq, a predicted model, not a curated record
UAAUUUUAUGCUUAUUUGCCAAUCUCUCACGCAAGGCGGCGGAGUUCUAAAUCCAGAUCCAAUUUCGUCGGAGCUGGUCACGAUUCGCCUUCGCCGCGGUGGUGAAAUCGUCUCCAUCGGUAAGUUUGCGCGGUCGCUGCUCGGCGCGUGCGGCAACGGCGGCGAUAAUCGCGGCAUCGAGGUCGGGUGAGAGGUCUGCGAGGGAUCGGCUGAUUUUGUGCAGAAAAUUCGACUGAAUCCGGCGGGAUCGUCGAUUGCGGUGGUGAGGGAACUGCCUUUCUCUCUCUGUAAAUUAAUUUUCGUGGUGAGCAUCUGCUGUUGAAGGAGAAGGCGUGGGAGCUCGAUUUUGUUCAGAGAAUCGUGGAAUUGUUUUUGUACUCUGAUUGGAUUUCUGAUACGAAUUUUUUGACUCCAGAGGUAGUGCUGGAGAUAUAUGAUUAUUAUCCUGGUUCAGAAGAUCUGAAUUGGAAGUUGUGAUUUAUUGUUCUUUCAUCGUCAAUCGGGACGUGCGUGGCGGAAUUACUGUGUUUAGACAUAUAAUUUCAGCAAAUAUGAUUCUCUGUUCACCGCUUCUGAGACGAUGAUAUGAAUGCUUCGCUUCGAAAUCCAGAUUUCGUUAGAUUUGGAUGGUUCUGUUAGCUGAUUUAUCUAAUUUCCGGAAGCAGAAGGAAAAUCUGGAUUGUAUGAGGAAGAACAAAGUACAGUGAACAGAAUUGAAGUUCGCCGUUGUUGACAUUUUAAUACGAGUUGUUGACAUUCGAUAAUCUCGGUAUUGAAAUGCUCUCGGUAAGGUGAGUGACGGAUCGCGUAGAAGAGCACUUGGAGCUUUGACCAUUGAAAUGCUCUGUUCCAGUUCCCUUGCUGCCUCCCUUUGCAACUGGGCCUUCUUCGGCUUCAGUCUGUCCAGAUUCACAAGGCACAUUUGAAGAUUUGAAGAUUUGAAGAAUGUUGAAG